RNAcentral lists this ribosomal RNA (502 nucleotides) under uncultured bacterium. Its description in RNAcentral is "bacterial SSU rRNA". It matches the Rfam family "Bacterial small subunit ribosomal RNA", at positions 28 to 523 of the family's 1533-position model. The record is from RNAcentral.
GAUGAACGCUAGCGGCAGGCUUAAUACAUGCAAGUCGAGGGGCAGCAGUCCCGCAGCAAUGCGGGAGCUGGCGACCGGCAAACGGGUGCGGAACACGUACAGAACCUUCCUUCGAGCGGGGAAUAGCCCAGAGAAAUUUGGAUUAAUACCCCAUAGCAUUACGAAGUGGCAUCACUUUGUAAUUAAAGAUUUAUCACUCGAAGAUGGCUGUGCGGCUGAUAGGUAGUUGGCGGAGUAACGGCCCACCAAGCCUUCGAUCAGUAACUGGUGUGAGAGCACGACCAGUCACACGGGCACUGAGACACGGGCCCGACUCCUACGGGAGGCAGCAGUAAGGAAUAUUGGUCAAUGGACGAAAGUCUGAACCAGCCAUGCCGCGUGGAGGAUGAAGGUCCUCUGGGUUGUAAACUUCUUUUAUAUGGGACGAAAAAGGCUUUUCUAAGUCGUCUGACGGUACCAUAUGAAUAAGCACCGGCUAACUCCGUGCCAGCCGCCGCCGUAA